Molecule: ribosomal RNA, 643 nt
Filed under: uncultured bacterium
Lineage: Bacteria
Description: bacterial SSU rRNA
Rfam family: Bacterial small subunit ribosomal RNA
Source: RNAcentral
CAAAGGAAGCGAUUCCGGCGGGGGAUGGGCAUGCGGCGCAUUAGCUAGUCGGCGGGGUAACGGCCCACCGAGGCGACGAUGCGUAGGGGUUCUGAGAGGAAGGUCCCCCACACUGGUACUGAGACACGGACCAGACUCCUACGGGAGGCAGCAGUGAGGAAUAUUGGUCAAUGGGCGGGAGCCUGAACCAGCCAAGUCGCGUGAGGGAAGACGGUCCUACGGAUUGUAAACCUCUUUUGCCGGGGAGCAACGGGGUCCUUGCGAGGGCCCAAUGAGAGUACCCGGAGAAAAAGCAUCGGCUAACUCCGUGCCAGCAGCCGCGGUAAUACGGAGGAUGCGAGCGUUAUCCGGAUUUAUUGGGUUUAAAGGGUGCGUAGGCGGGCUGUUAAGUCAGCGGUCAGAUGUCGGGGCUCAACCCCGGCCUGCCGUUGAAACUGGCGGCCUCGAGUGGGCGAGAAGUAUGCGGAAUGCGUGGUGUAGCGGUGAAAUGCAUAGAUAUCACGCAGAACUCCGAUUGCGAAGGCAGCAUACCGGCGCCCGACUGACGCUGAGGCACGAAAGCGUGGGUAUCGAACAGGAUUAGAUACCCUGGUAGUCCACGCAGUAAACGAUGAAUGCUAGCUGUCCGGGACUUCGGUCCUGG